CUGUUUUGUUGGUGCUGUUGAGUUUGAUGUUGAUUGUUUCUCCAGUAAGAGCUGCACAGACCAAUAGAAGGAAGCUGGUUCAGAUGAUCCAACCCCAUGUUCCGAGCAAUAUUUACUGCACCUGUUCCCACUCCUGACUCCGAGGUCAUGUGGGAUCCAAUCAUAACCCCAUCAUCCUUCACAGUUACAGAAUUCGAUAUUGGACUAGGGUUAGGAUUAGGGUUCUGGGUGGCUCUCAGUAAGGCCAGCAGAUGAGAAUUCUGCGGCGACGCCCAAAGAAUUGGGUUGGAAGGUAUCUCGUGAUCAAACCCACCUCCCAGACCCGAUUUUCC
Molecule: long non-coding RNA, 332 nt
Filed under: Vitis vinifera (wine grape)
Lineage: Eukaryota; Viridiplantae; Streptophyta; Magnoliopsida; Vitales; Vitaceae
Description: long non-coding RNA (VVIN_LNC007424)
Source: RNAcentral